AGAGUUUGAUCCUGGCUCAGCAUUGAACGUUGGCGGCAGGUUUCAUACAUGCAAGUCGAACGGGGUUGACUCCUUCGGAAGUGCCAACCCAGUGGCGGACGGGUGAGUAACGCGUAGGAAUCUACCUAGUAGGUGGGGAAUAACGCCAGGAGACUGGCGCUAAUACCGCAUACGACCUAGGGGUGAAAGCGGGGGAUCUUUUGACCUCGCGCUAUUAGAGGAGCCUGCGUUGGAUUAGCUUGUUGGUGAGGUAAUGGCUCACCAAGGCGACGAUCCAUAGCUGGUCUGAGAGGACGAUCAGCCACACUGGAACUGAAACACGGUCCAGACUUCUAAGGNANGCAGCAGUAGAGAAUAUUGCCCAAUGGGGGAAACCCNAGAUGCAGGCAUGCCGCGUGUGUGAA
This 404-nucleotide ribosomal RNA is filed under the name uncultured bacterium. Its description in RNAcentral is "bacterial SSU rRNA". It matches the Rfam family "Bacterial small subunit ribosomal RNA", at positions 8 to 409 of the family's 1533-position model. The record is from RNAcentral.